GCAAGUCGAACGAGACCUUCGGGAUGAGUGGCAGACGGGUGAGUAACGCGUGGGAAUCUACCUAUCUCUACGGAACAACACAUAGAAAUGUGUGCUAAUACCGUAUACGCCCUUAGGGGGAAAGAUUUAUCGGAGAUAGAUGAGCCCGCGUUGGAUUAGCUAGUUGGUGAGGUAAUGGCUCACCAAGGCGACGAUCUAUAGCUGGUCUGAGAGGAUGAUC
Molecule: ribosomal RNA, 220 nt
Filed under: uncultured bacterium
Lineage: Bacteria
Description: partial 16S ribosomal RNA
Rfam family: Bacterial small subunit ribosomal RNA
Source: RNAcentral